Molecule: ribosomal RNA, 253 nt
Filed under: uncultured bacterium
Lineage: Bacteria
Description: partial 16S ribosomal RNA
Rfam family: Bacterial small subunit ribosomal RNA
Source: RNAcentral
UACGUAGGCAGCGAGCGUUGUUCGGAAUUACUGGGCGUAAAGAGUGUGUAGGCGGUGCUCUAAGUUCGGUGUGAAAUCUCCUGGCUUAACUGGGAGGGUGCGCCGAAAACUGGAGUGCUCGAGCGUGGGAGAGGAAAGCGGAAUUCCUGGUGUAGCGGUGAAAUGCGUAGAUAUCAGGAGGAACACCUGCGGUGUAGACGACUUUCUGGACCAUUGCUGACGCUGAGACACGAAAGCGUGGGUAGCAAACAGG